Molecule: ribosomal RNA, 542 nt
Filed under: Bifidobacterium dentium
Lineage: Bacteria; Bacillati; Actinomycetota; Actinomycetes; Bifidobacteriales; Bifidobacteriaceae
Description: bacterial SSU rRNA
Rfam family: Bacterial small subunit ribosomal RNA
Source: RNAcentral
GUGGUAAUGCCGGAUGCUCCGGUUGGAUGCAUGUCCUUCCGGGAAAGAUUCUAUCGGUAUGGGAUGGGGUCGCGUCCUAUCAGCUUGAUGGCGGGGUAACGGCCCACCAUGGCUUCGACGGGUAGCCGGCCUGAGAGGGCGACCGGCCACAUUGGGACUGAGAUACGGCCCAGACUCCUACGGGAGGCAGCAGUGGGGAAUAUUGCACAAUGGGCGCAAGCCUGAUGCAGCGACGCCGCGUGCGGGAUGGAGGCCUUCGGGUUGUAAACCGCUUUUGAUCGGGAGCAAGCCCUUCGGGGUGAGUGUACCUUUCGAAUAAGCACCGGCUAACUACGUGCCAGCAGCCGCGGUAAUACGUAGGGUGCAAGCGUUAUCCGGAAUUAUUGGGCGUAAAGGGCUCGUAGGCGGUUCGUCGCGUCCGGUGUGAAAGCCCAUCGCUUAACGGUGGGUCUGCGCCGGGUACGGGCGGGCUGGAGUGCGGUAGGGGAGACUGGAAUUCCCGGUGUAACGGUGGAAUGUGUAGAUAUCGGGAAAGAACACCA